GGUCGGUCCCCCGCGCGACGAAACGCUGUCUACCCGGUCAGGUCCGGAAGGAAGCAGCCGUCGCAGCCACUUCGGGUGCGCGGGUGUGGCCGGCUGGA
RNAcentral lists this signal recognition particle RNA (98 nucleotides) under Candidatus Muproteobacteria bacterium RBG_19FT_COMBO_61_10. RNAcentral's name for it is "signal recognition particle sRNA small type". It matches the Rfam family "Bacterial small signal recognition particle RNA". Rfam says of the family: The signal recognition particle (SRP) is a universally conserved ribonucleoprotein involved in the co-translational targeting of proteins to membranes. Lineage: Bacteria; Pseudomonadati; Pseudomonadota; Candidatus Muproteobacteria. The record is from RNAcentral.